GUGCUCACUUCACUAGCACAUACACUAAAAUCAAAAUGAUACAAAGAUUAGCAUGGGUCUGCACAAGGAUGGCAUGCAAAUCUGUGACACAUUCCAUAUUUUU
Molecule: small nuclear RNA, 103 nt
Organism: Artibeus jamaicensis (Jamaican fruit-eating bat)
Lineage: Eukaryota; Metazoa; Chordata; Mammalia; Chiroptera; Phyllostomidae
Source: RefSeq, a predicted model, not a curated record